Molecule: ribosomal RNA, 468 nt
Filed under: uncultured bacterium
Lineage: Bacteria
Description: partial 16S ribosomal RNA
Rfam family: Bacterial small subunit ribosomal RNA
Source: RNAcentral
GACGAACGCUGGCGGCGUGCUUAACACAUGCCAGUCGAACGGAAAGGCCCUGCUUUUGUGGCGUGCUCGAGUGGCGAACGGGUGAGUAACACGUGAGUAACCUGCCCUUGACUUUGGGAUAACUUCAGGAAACUGGGGCUCAUACCGGAUAGGAUCUCCUGCUGCAUGGUGUGGAUUGGUAAGUUUCGGCGGUUGGGGAUGGACUCGCGGCUUCUCCGCUUGUUGGUGGGGUAGUGGCUUACGAAGGCUUUGACGGGUAGGCGGCCUGGGAGGGUGACCGGCGACAUGGGGCCUGAGAGACGGACCAGAAGCGUAUGGGAGGCAGUAGGGGGGAACAUUGCACAAUGGGCGGAAGUCUGAGGCAGAAACGCUGGGUGCGGGAUGACGGCCUUCGGGUUGUAAACAGAUUUCGCCGGUGACGAAGCGUGAGUGACGGUAAUGGGUAAAGAAGCACCGGCUAACUACGUG